UGGAAAGAUUAUUGUAUUCGACUGUAUUCACGGCGUGAAACAGGGGAUUACAUUGUUUUUAAACGGAAAGUGAAUCAAUUAACAUAAUCGACUCCU
RNAcentral lists this microRNA precursor (96 nucleotides) under Nicotiana attenuata. Its description in RNAcentral is "MIR6152 microRNA precursor family". It matches the Rfam family "MIR6152 microRNA precursor family". Lineage: Eukaryota; Viridiplantae; Streptophyta; Magnoliopsida; Solanales; Solanaceae. The record is from Rfam by way of RNAcentral.